RNAcentral lists this microRNA (21 nucleotides) under Glycine max (soybean). RNAcentral's name for it is "gma-miR4995". The record is from miRBase by way of RNAcentral. Lineage: Eukaryota; Viridiplantae; Streptophyta; Magnoliopsida; Fabales; Fabaceae.
AGGCAGUGGCUUGGUUAAGGG